This 446-nucleotide ribosomal RNA is filed under the name uncultured bacterium. RNAcentral describes it as "partial 16S ribosomal RNA". It matches the Rfam family "Bacterial small subunit ribosomal RNA", at positions 29 to 523 of the family's 1533-position model. The record is from RNAcentral.
AACGAACGCUGGCGGCAGGCUUAACACAUGCAAGUCGAACGCCUCGCAAGGGGAGUGGCAGACGGGUGAGUAACGCGUGGGAACGUACCUUUCGCUUCGGAAUAUUCCCGGGAAACUGGGAGCAAUGCCGCAUACGCCGUAUUGGGAAAGAUUUAUCGGCGAAAGAUCGGCCCGCGUUAGAUUAGGUAGUUGGCGGUGUAAUGGACCACCAAGCCUACGAUCUAUAGCUGGUCUGAGAGGAUGAUCAGCCACACUGGGACUGAGACACGGCCCAGACUCCUACGGGAGGCAGCAGUGGGGAAUCUUGGACGAUGGGCGCAAGCCUGAUCCAGCCAUGCCGCGUGAGUGAAGAAGGCCUUAGGGUUGUAAAACUCUUUUGCCGGUGAAGAUAAUGACGGUAACCGGAGAAGAAGCCCCGGCUAACUUCGUGCCAGCCGCCGCCGUAA